GUCCAGACUCCUACGGGAGGCAGCAGUGGGGAAUAUUGCACAAUGGGGGAAACCCUGAUGCAGCGACGCCGCGUGAGCGAUGAAGUAUUUCGGUAUGUAAGGCUCUAUCAGCAGGGAAGAAGAUGACGGUACCUGACUAAGAAGCCCCGGCUAACUACGUGCCAGCAGCCGCGGUAAUACGUAGGGGGCAAGCGUUAUCCGGAUUUACUGGGUGUAAAGGGAGCGUAGACGGCGAUGCAAGCCAGAUGUGAAAGCCCGGGGCUCAACCCCGGGACUGCAUUUGGAACUGUGUGGCUGGAGUGUCGGAGAGGCAGGCGGAAUUCCUAGUGUAGCGGUGAAAUGCGUAGAUAUUAGGAGGAACACCGGUGGCGAAGGCGGCCUGCUGGACGAUGACUGACGUUGAGGCUCGAAAGCGUGGGGAGCAAACAGGAUUAGAUACCCCAGUA
RNAcentral lists this ribosomal RNA (446 nucleotides) under uncultured bacterium. Its description in RNAcentral is "bacterial SSU rRNA". It matches the Rfam family "Bacterial small subunit ribosomal RNA", at positions 329 to 792 of the family's 1533-position model. The record is from RNAcentral.